CGCGCACGCCACUAUUGUGCAUGUAGUAUAUAUCAGAGUCGUUUUCUCUCUUCUUUCGAUGGUCUUCUUCUCUAGGGGUGUAGAGGAUUUUUACUACACACAUUCAAUUGAGGAGUAAAAGUUGUACAAUAUCUUAUAUGGAUGGAUGGACCAGGUACUAUAACAUGGGAAGAAUUUGUUGAGAAUGCGAAAAGUUUUGCCCGAGUUUCAGAUGAAAUUUUGGACAGUUGGGAACUCCGUGGUGACAAGGAUGUACCUGCUCAGGCUUAUUUAGCACGUCGGGUAAAGACCUUUGUAACACGAGACUACUUAGAUUAUCAGGAUAAUGUCGAAUCUACAAAAAAAUUAAUUAAAAAGGAUGGGCUUAAUGAUGAUGAUGACUUAAAUGCUGUUGAUGAUCCUUUCGAAGCUAAAAACAAUUUAGAAGUCCCAUUUAUCACGGAACAUCACAUACUUUGGUCCAUGAGUUAUAGCGUACCUGUACUAUUCUUCAAUGCUUGGAUCUCUGACUUUCCGGGAGUCAAUCCUAUUAACGUCGAGUUAGCACACAAGCUUGUACAUCACAAUGAUACGAGUCUGGGAUAUACCGAGUUGUCACAGGCGAUUCAUCCGAUUCUCGGUACGCCGUUUCUUCAGCUUCAUCCUUGUAUGUCGAAGGAAUUAAUUCAAAAUACAUCAAAGAGCAAAAAUAAAUUGGUAAGCUGGCUCAGCGCUGUGUCACCUGCUGCAUUAAAUCUACAAAUUGGAAAUGAGUAUUUCAAGCUAACGAAUUCCGAUUAUUAGUUAAUAAUUACUGGAAUUAUUAUGCUGAUAAAAAAUUUUAGUAUCUGAUAAUUCUUUUGAUCAGUUAAAUUGAUUUUAUAAUUAAUUGAAUAAUAUAUUACUCAUAUAGGAAUAUAUGUCAUAGAAGAUCAGAUAUACAUAUAAAUAAAUCAAUCAUUCAUUGCUCUUUCUACAUAUGUACAAAAUAGUACCAGGACAACCGCCAUCGAUGCGUUUGCAAAUGAUGAGAUUAUUGAUCCUAUGAGUGAAUGCGCGUGUCUGUUUUAUCAUUAUACAUAUAUUUGUUACGUGAAUAGAAUCCUGCACUUAGAUUUUUGAAUUACAUGCUGAUAGAUUUGACACAGAACUUUUAUUUUUCAAAUGAAUUCAAACAAUUGCAUUGUGUUACUGUGAACUUAUAUUCUAUUGAAAAAAAAACCGCGAAUAAAAUCAUCUCUUCUCACAGUCAUUACAUUAA
RNAcentral lists this unclassified non-coding RNA (1240 nucleotides) under Cotesia glomerata. RNAcentral's name for it is "ubiquitin-like-conjugating enzyme ATG10, transcript variant X3". Lineage: Eukaryota; Metazoa; Arthropoda; Insecta; Hymenoptera; Braconidae. The record is from RNAcentral.